GGAUGUGAGGGUGAUCUGGCUGUGACAUCUGUCACCCCAUUGAUUGCCAGGAUUGAUUCAGCUGAUCUGGCUGGCUUGGCGGGUGUCUCCUUCCUCCCUCACCGAUUCAUGUGCAUCCCUCCCGAAGCUGCAUGCUUAAAUAAAUAUAUCUCAGUGGAAGAGGAUGAUGUCCCAGGUAUAGAAGGAGUGUACUGAGGUCUCCAGUCUCCAGUCCCAAGUAUACGAUAGCUACUCUCCCCUGCUAGAACCUCCAAAUAAGCCUGAGAAUACUAAAAACUUCCCUGACAUGAUACUGAAACCUACCACCUGAGGCAGGUGCCUUACUUU
This 327-nucleotide small nuclear RNA is filed under the name Anolis carolinensis (green anole). Its description in RNAcentral is "7SK RNA". It matches the Rfam family "7SK RNA". Rfam says of the family: 7SK was discovered as an abundant small nuclear RNA in the mid-70s but a possible function has only recently been suggested. Two independent studies have found that 7SK RNA binds the CDK9/cyclin T complex (known as elongation factor P-TEFb). P-TEFb activates transcription by phosphorylating the C-terminal domain of RNA polymerase II. Lineage: Eukaryota; Metazoa; Chordata; Lepidosauria; Squamata; Anolidae. The record is from Rfam by way of RNAcentral.